GAAAUGCGAUAAGUAAUGUGAAUUGCAGAAUUCAGUGAAUCAUCGAAUCUUUGAACGCACCUUGCGCUCCUUGGUAUUCCUUGGAGCAUGCCUGUUUGAGUAUCAUGAAAUCUUCAAAGUAAAUCUUUUGUUAACUCAAUUGGUUUCUACUUUGGUAUUGGAGGUCUUUGCAGCUUCACACCUGCUCCUCUUUGUUCAUUAGCUGGAUCUCAGUGUUAUGCUUGGUUCCACUCGUCGUGAUAAGUUAUCUAUCGCUGAGGACACUGUAAAAGGUGGCCAAGGUAAAUGCAGAUGAACCGCUUCUAAUCGUCCAUUGACUUGGACAAUACUUUUAUGAUCUGAUCUCAAAUCAGGUAGGACUACCCGCUGACCUUAAGC
RNAcentral lists this unclassified non-coding RNA (378 nucleotides) under plant metagenome. RNAcentral's name for it is "partial contains 5.8S ribosomal RNA, internal transcribed spacer 2, and large subunit ribosomal RNA". The stretch from base 1 to 105 matches the Rfam family "5.8S ribosomal RNA", at positions 50 to 154 of the family's 154-position model. The record is from RNAcentral.